RNAcentral lists this ribosomal RNA (1314 nucleotides) under Triticum aestivum (bread wheat). RNAcentral's name for it is "partial small subunit ribosomal RNA". Lineage: Eukaryota; Viridiplantae; Streptophyta; Magnoliopsida; Poales; Poaceae. The record is from RNAcentral.
AUGCCCAGCCCGCCCAAGGACCGCCCCGCCGGCCGCCUCGGCCGCCUCAUCUCCGCGCUCCGCCCCGCGCGCGCCGGCCCCCUCCCCGUCCAGACCGGCUUCCCCACCUCCCUCGCCGACCUCUUCGUCAAGAACCAUGGCCGCCUCAAGAAGCAGGGCCCCUCCUCCGGCAGGCGCAAGAGGCGCGGCGCCCCCCCUUUGCCUUCCUCCGAGCCCUCUCCCCCGCCUCCCUCUCCUCCACCCCCGCCGGCCGCCGUCUGCCCGCCGUCGGCCCAGCCAAGGCCCGACCUUCCGCGGGCGGAGCCCGUCCGCCGCCCCGGAGGCGGGGCCGCCGGCCUCGGAUUGGGGUUCCUCGCGCUCGUCGGCGUGGCGUCCCUCGCCCUCCUCGUGAUCUGGAGCAGGAAGGUGGUUGCGGCCGUCACCGUCGCCGCCUUCUCGCUCUUCCUGCUGGAAUCCGUCAGGGCGUCCUCGCUUCGCCGGCGGCCCCGGCCCCCGGCGCCCACCGCGGAGCUGGAUAUCGACGACGGCCGCGGCUACGUCUCGCCGAUCCGGGAGCUGGCGGGGGAGCCGGAGCCGCUGGGAUCGAGCUUCUCCGACUCCGGCAGGGGGAUCAGCGCCUCCAUCCUCGGCAUUGACGAGAGGAGCGAGGCCGGCGAGGAUUCGUGCGUCUGGGAGCCGAAGCCGAGGAAGAGGUCGCCUUGGAGGAAGCUGAUCCCCAGGAAAUUGCAGAGAGGCCGGAAGAUUGGCAAGGAGUCCGGCUCCCUGUCAAGUUCUUUCCGGUCAAGCUCUUUCCGCAGCGAGGUCAGCGUAGCGGACUCCACGCUCGGCGACAAUGCCGGGGCGACGGAUCCCCCGGACUCUCGCCGCGGCAGACGCAGCCAAGCGAACGCCAAGGCGGAGGCCGCUGCCAUCGGAUCGCGGGACUCAUCGGGCCCUCUCCGCCUUGGCAUGCUUGACGGCAUCAAAUCGCGCGACUCAUCGGGCCCUCUCCGCGGCAUGGGUGACGGCGCGGACGCCGCCACCAAAUCGCCGGAUUCGUCGUGUCCUCUCCGCGACACGGGCAACGGCGGUGCGCGUGCGCCGAUGGGAAUCGCCGGGGCGGACGGCGUAGGGGGAGGGGGAGGCCAGUUCCCCUUGGUAGCUGUGACCGUGGUCGUCCUCGUCGGCCUGGCCGCCGGGAGGGUCCCGGCCGUGGCGCUCACCGUGCUUUGGUCCGCGCUGGUUGGCUGGCUUCAGAGAUUGCGGCGGGACGGCGAUGGAUGUACGCACGUAGGAACCUCCCGAUCCCUCCCAGGGUUGAUGCAAGUAAAUUAG